GAAUUUCCACCUCAUUCUUUUUAACCCGAGGAAAAUUCAUAGCCGCUAUUUUUUUUAGUGUGCAUUACGUACACUCACUCCCGUGUAAUAUAACUCGCAAAUUACGUAUAGAAGAUGUAAACUGCACUAUGCAAAUCAAGUGCGACGAGCUCGACUGAGAAGAUGUUGACAUGAGGAAUUGAUCACUGUCUUCCCUUAUGAGAUACCAUCUGUUGCUCCAACUCAACCAUCCUGAUAAGUCAAAAUUAAAUUACUAAAUCGAAUUAGUUGAACCGUUAUCUCCAAAACUUUUAAUAAU
RNAcentral lists this long non-coding RNA (298 nucleotides) under Capsicum annuum. RNAcentral describes it as "long non-coding RNA (CANN_LNC019692)". The record is from RNAcentral. Lineage: Eukaryota; Viridiplantae; Streptophyta; Magnoliopsida; Solanales; Solanaceae.